RNAcentral lists this ribosomal RNA (467 nucleotides) under uncultured bacterium. Its description in RNAcentral is "partial 16S ribosomal RNA". It matches the Rfam family "Bacterial small subunit ribosomal RNA", at positions 28 to 506 of the family's 1533-position model. The record is from RNAcentral.
GACGAACGCUGGCGGCGUGCUUAACACAUGCAAGUCGAACGGAAAGGCCCUGCUUUUGUGGGGUGCUCGAGUGGCGAACGGGUGAGUAACACGUGAGUAACCUGCCCUUGACUUUGGGAUAACUUCAGGAAACUGGGGCUAAUACCGGAUAGGAGCUCCUGCUGCAUGGUGGGGGUUGGAAAGUUUCGGCGGUUGGGGAUGGACUCGCGGCUUAUCAGCUUGUUGGUGGGGUAGUGGCUUACCAAGGCUUUGACGGGUAGCCGGCCUGAGAGGGUGACCGGCCACAUUGGGACUGAGAUACGGCCCAGACUCCUACGGGAGGCAGCAGUGGGGAAUAUUGCACAAUGGGCGGAAACCUGAUGCAGCAACGCCGCGUGCGGGAUGACGGCCUUCGGGUUGUAAACCGCUUUCGCCUGUGACGAAGCGUGAGUGACGGUAAUGGGUAAAGAAGCACCGGCUAACUACGU